RNAcentral lists this ribosomal RNA (433 nucleotides) under uncultured bacterium. RNAcentral describes it as "partial 16S ribosomal RNA". It matches the Rfam family "Bacterial small subunit ribosomal RNA", at positions 29 to 507 of the family's 1533-position model. The record is from RNAcentral.
AACGAACGCUGGCGGCAUGCCUAACACAUGCAAGUCGAACGAGACCUUCGGGUCUAGUGGCGCACGGGUGCGUAACGCGUGGGAACCUGCCCUUAGGUUCGGCAUAACUCCCCGAAAGGGGUGCUAAUACCGGAUAAUGUCUUCGGACCAAAGAUUUAUCGCCUUUGGAUGGGCCCGCGUUGGAUUAGCUAGUUGGUAGGGUAAAAGCCUACCAAGGCGACGAUCCAUAGCUGGUCUGAGAGGAUGAUCAGCCACACUGGGACUGAGACACGGCCCAGACUCCUACGGGAGGCAGCAGUGGGGAAUAGUGGACAAUGGGCGAAAGCCUGAUCCAGCAAUGCCGCGUGAGUGAUGAAGGCCUUAGGGUUGUAAAGCUCUUUUACCCGGGAUGAUAAUGACAGUACCGGGAGAAUAAGCUCCGGCUAACUCCGUG